CCUACGGGAGGCAGCAGUGAGGAAUAUUGGUCAAUGGGCGGAAGCCUGAACCAGCCAAGUAGCGUGCGGGAUGAAGGCCCUACGGGUCGUAAACCGCUUUUGCACGGGGAUAACACCCUCCACUUGUGGAGGUCUGCAGGUACCGUGCGAAUAAGGGCUGGCUAAUUCCGUGCCAGCAGCCGCGGUAAUACGGAAGGCCCGAGCGUUAUCCGGAUUCAUGGGGGUUAAAGGGAGCGAAGGCGGGCGUUCAAGGUCGCUGUAAAAUCGCGGGGUUCAACCGCGCCCCGCAGUUGAAACUGGACGUCUUGAGUGCGCAAGAGGCAGGCGGAAUGCGUGGUGUAGCGGUGAAAUGCAUAGAUAUCACGAGGAACCCCGAUUGCGAAGGCAGCCUGCCGGGGUGCGACUGACGCUGAGGCUCGAAGGUGCGGGUAUCAAACAGGAUUAGAUACCCGAGUAGUC
Molecule: ribosomal RNA, 459 nt
Filed under: uncultured bacterium
Lineage: Bacteria
Description: partial 16S ribosomal RNA
Rfam family: Bacterial small subunit ribosomal RNA
Source: RNAcentral